Molecule: ribosomal RNA, 440 nt
Filed under: uncultured bacterium
Lineage: Bacteria
Description: partial 16S ribosomal RNA
Rfam family: Bacterial small subunit ribosomal RNA
Source: RNAcentral
CCUACGGGAGGCAGCAGUGGGGGAUAUUGCACAAUGGGGGGAACCCUGAUGCAGCGACGCCGCGUGGGUGAAGAAGCGCCUCGGCGCGUAAAGCCCUGUCAGCAGGGAAGAAAAUGACGGUACCUGAAGAAGAAGCCCCGGCUAACUACGUGCCAGCAGCCGCGGUAAUACGUAGGGGGCAAGCGUUAUCCGGAUUUACUGGGUGUAAAGGGGGCGCAGACGGCGAUGCAAGCCAGGAGUGAAAGCCCGGGGCCCAACCCCGGGACUGCUCUUGGAACUGCGUGGCUGGAGUGCAGGAGGGGCAGGCGGAAUUCCUGGUGUAGCGGUGAAAUGCGUAGAUAUCAGGAGGAACACCAAUAGCGUAGGCAGGAUGCUGGGACGGUUCUGACACUAAGGCACGAAAGCGUAGGGAGCAAACGGGAUUAGAUACCCCUGUAGUC